AUGGACUCUACUAGCUUGGGUUCUCCCAGAUUGCAAUUUCGUGAAGUGGGUUUUUGGCAAAAGCUUCCAAAAUUCCAGCUUCACUCGUCCGUGGCGCCAAAUUCUUUUUCAGCCCCAAAAGUUAAGUGUGGCCUCCGAAAGGGAACCAGGAAGCCCUUGUGGAGGUCAAGAGUGCUUUCGAAUGAAGCCAUUCAGGCAGUUCAGUCCUUGAAGUUGGCCAAAUCAAACCCAUCAAAACUUGAGGAGGUCUUCAAUGGCAGAGUCGCUAGGCUGCUGAAAGCUGACUUAUUGGACGCCUUGGCUGAGUUACGGAGACAGAAUGAACUGGACUUGGCCCUUCAGGUCUUCAAAUUCAUGCAGAAGGAAGUAUGGUAUAAACCAGAUCUCUCCCUAUACUGUGACAUGAUUCUCUUGUUGGGAAAGAGCAAACUGAUUGAAUUUGCUGAAGAGCUUUUCUCUGAACUUAAAAAAGAAGGCUUGAAACCUGACACAAGGGCAUUUACUGAAAUGAUUGGAGCAUAUAUACAUGUUGGUAGGAUUGAUAAGGUAAUGGAGACUUAUGGAUUGAUGAAGGCAUCAGGUUGUACCCCAGAUGAAUUAACCUUCAGAAUAUUGAUCAAGAACCUUGAGAAGGUAGGAGAAGAAGAGCUACUAGCAUCCAUAAAGAAAGAAGUUGCUGAAUAUGUUGAUUCUCCUGAGCAAUUUCUUCGAGAAGUAGCAAAGAAACAUCCAAAGAGGAGAUCACUAAAUCUUGUUUGACAAUUUCCAUACUCAGACUAGAAGAGUAUUGUUAUGCAAUGAUAGAAUCGGUCACCACCAAGAUGACAUGCAGUUCCAAGCUCCUGUCUGGAACUCUCCUCAUGACAUUGAUGAAAUAUUAAGUACGGUUGCACAGAGUUAUCAUGAAUUUUACCGUGUUGCAGUUGAAUUAGAGGACUUGUCUGUAUCCAUUUCUUCGAUGGGAAUUGGAACUUCAUUUGGUAUUAUUGGAAAACUUGAUCUAUGAAAAGGUUUUCAAGAACUUUGGAUGCUACUCGUGCCUUAUAUUUUCCAUGUAGGGGAAUACAAAUGAACAGUUGAAGUUUAUUACAUGUAAGAUGCAUUGUAAAUCAUACCUUUUUUAGAUGAAGAUCAAUCACUCUCUGUUGAUCACCUUGGCGCCGAAAGCAUGGUUCAGAACACUUUUGGAGAUGAGAGAAGCACGAAGAAGCUCUAGGGCCUGCACGAAUCAAAUUCCCAACUCAAUUAACUUCAUUCAUAGCAAAAAAGCUGACUUCUAUAUUUUUCCUAGGAAUUUCUUUCGCACAGAUUUCAAAUUUAUCACGAAAAAAGACAACUUAGUUUCUUGUCAAUGCCAUUUGAAUGAUUGAUUUUACAAGUAACUUACCUCCUCUUAUGAUUGAUUUUACAAGUAACUUACCUCCUCUUCUCCCACUUUAACAGGCAUGGAUUUCAUGUCACUGAAGGGAAUAUCGCCAAGCUUGGAAAUGUCAGAGGCAGCCGAAAAAGGUUUAAUCUCAAGAUUGUCGGUGACCAACAGUUUACAUCCUUUGACAAAAGCACCACCUGGUGUAAUGCCAGGCCAUUUGGGAUUGAUUAUGUGGAGUGUCUGGUUGAAAUGUUCACAUGCUUUGAUAUUCCGGAACAUCCAGCAAGUACAGUUGUUGUAUGCCAAAGAUGAUGGCAUUGUCUCUUCCUGGAUUUGGAGCAGUUGGUAAUAGCAACCAAACAUGCGUUCUAGUUUUGGACUAA
Molecule: RNA transcript, 1752 nt
Organism: Ziziphus jujuba (common jujube)
Lineage: Eukaryota; Viridiplantae; Streptophyta; Magnoliopsida; Rosales; Rhamnaceae
Gene name: pentatricopeptide repeat-containing protein At1g62350
Exons: 4
Source: RefSeq, a predicted model, not a curated record